Molecule: small nuclear RNA, 334 nt
Filed under: Jaculus jaculus (lesser Egyptian jerboa)
Lineage: Eukaryota; Metazoa; Chordata; Mammalia; Rodentia; Dipodidae
Description: 7SK RNA (ENSJJAG00000003852.1)
Rfam family: 7SK RNA
About the family: 7SK was discovered as an abundant small nuclear RNA in the mid-70s but a possible function has only recently been suggested. Two independent studies have found that 7SK RNA binds the CDK9/cyclin T complex (known as elongation factor P-TEFb). P-TEFb activates transcription by phosphorylating the C-terminal domain of RNA polymerase II.
Source: Rfam by way of RNAcentral
GGAUGUGAGGGUGAUCGAGCUGUGACAUCUGUCAUUCCACUGAUCACCCCAGCAUUGAUUCAGCUGAUCUAACUGGCUGGGCCGACGGCCCCUUCCUCCCUCACGGCUCCACGUGUGCCCUCCCUAAGCUGUGAACUGGGUUCAAGAACAGGAAGACUACUUUCUCUGAACGGAGGAGGAUCAGUGCUUGGUCAAGGGUGUACAAGUUGCUGGGUUCCCCUGCUAGUACCUCCAAACAAGCUCUCUGGUCAGUGUGGGCAACAGAAAGACUCAGCCUCAAAAAUAAACAAAUAAUAAAUAAAACAAAUAAGCUGCAAAUGGUAACCACUUCUUU